This 345-nucleotide ribosomal RNA is filed under the name uncultured bacterium. RNAcentral's name for it is "bacterial SSU rRNA". It matches the Rfam family "Bacterial small subunit ribosomal RNA", at positions 28 to 355 of the family's 1533-position model. The record is from RNAcentral.
GACGAACGCUGGCGGCGUGCUUAACACAUGCAAGUCGAACGAGAAUCUAUGGAUCGAGGAUUCGUCCAAGUGAAGUAGAGGACAGUGGCGGACGGGUGAGUAACGCGUGAGGAACCUGCCUUUCAGAGGGGGACAACAGUUGGAAACGACUGCUAAUACCGCAUGACACAUAGAGAUCGCAUGGUUUUUAUGUCAAAGAUUUAUCGCUGAAAGAUGGCCUCGCGUCUGAUCAGCUUGUUGGCAGGGUAACGGCCUACCAAGGCGACGAUCCAUAGCCGGCCUGAGAGGGUGAACGGCCACAUUGGGACUGAGACACGGGCCCAGACUCCUACGGGAGGCAGCAGU